RNAcentral lists this ribosomal RNA (253 nucleotides) under uncultured bacterium. RNAcentral's name for it is "partial 16S ribosomal RNA". It matches the Rfam family "Bacterial small subunit ribosomal RNA", at positions 524 to 776 of the family's 1533-position model. The record is from RNAcentral.
UACGUAGGGGGCAAGCGUUGUCCGGAAUCAUUGGGCGUAAAGCGCGUGUAGGCGGCUCGGUAAGUCUGCUCUGAAAGCCUGGGGCUCAACCCUGGGAGGCGGGUGGAUACUGCUGAGCUCGAGUCCGGAAGAGGCGAGUGGAAUUCCUGGUGUAGCGGUGAAAUGCGCAGAUAUCAGGAGGAACACCAAUGGCGAAGGCAGCUCGCUGGGACGGUACUGACGCUGAGACGCGAAAGCGUGGGGAGCAAACAGG